RNAcentral lists this transfer RNA (73 nucleotides) under Sarcophilus harrisii (Tasmanian devil). It matches the Rfam family "tRNA". From Rfam's summary of the family: Transfer RNA (tRNA) molecules are approximately 80 nucleotides in length. Their secondary structure includes four short double-helical elements and three loops (D, anti-codon, and T loops). Further hydrogen bonds mediate the characteristic L-shaped molecular structure. tRNAs have two regions of fundamental functional importance: the anti-codon, which is responsible for specific mRNA codon recognition, and the 3' end, to which the tRNAs corresponding amino acid is attached (by aminoacyl-tRNA synthetases). tRNAs cope with the degeneracy of the genetic code in two manners: having more than one tRNA (with a specific anti-codon) for a particular amino acid; and 'wobble' base-pairing, i.e. permitting non-standard base-pairing at the 3rd anti-codon position. The record is from Rfam by way of RNAcentral. Lineage: Eukaryota; Metazoa; Chordata; Mammalia; Dasyuromorphia; Dasyuridae.
GUCAGAGUUGAGUAGUGGAUAAAGAACUGGCCUCAGAAGCAAGAAAACCCAGGUUAAAAUCCUGCCUCUGACA